This 253-nucleotide ribosomal RNA is filed under the name uncultured bacterium. RNAcentral describes it as "partial 16S ribosomal RNA". It matches the Rfam family "Bacterial small subunit ribosomal RNA", at positions 524 to 776 of the family's 1533-position model. The record is from RNAcentral.
UACGAAGGGGGCUAGCGUUGCUCGGAAUCACUGGGCGUAAAGCGCACGUAGGCGGAUUGUUAAGUCAGGGGUGAAAUCCUGGAGCUCAACUCCAGAACUGCCUUUGAUACUGGCGAUCUCGAGUCCGGGAGAGGUGAGUGGAAUUCCCAGUGUAGCGGUGAAAUGCGUAGAUAUUGGGAGGAACACCAGUGGCGAAGGCGGCUCACUGGACCGGAACUGACGCUGAGGCGCGAAAGCGUGGGGAGCAAACAGG